This is a long non-coding RNA of Aedes albopictus (Asian tiger mosquito), 4597 nucleotides long. RefSeq lists it as uncharacterized. NCBI's taxonomy places the organism in Eukaryota, Metazoa, Arthropoda, Insecta, Diptera, Culicidae. The transcript is spliced from 3 exons. The record is from RefSeq and is a predicted model, not a curated record.
CAAGCGGUUUUCGUGAUACAAGGCCAAUAUCAUGUUUCUGGAACGUGAUAUUGCCAUACAUUUUUGACACCUCCAAUAUCACCUUCCCGAACGUGAUAUUCUGAAUAUCACGAUACAACUGCUCGAAAUUGCUGCUCGAAUGUCGAUUUUCUGGCAACCCUGGCGGGAAUUUGACAGAAAUGUCAUUUGGAAAAGUUUGUUUUUAUUGUUGUUUUCCUUGACCGAAAUCAGGAGGAUUGUGCUCCAAAAGCAGCAAAAAUAUUUCAUUUUCUGCAAAACUCUUCCGCUGCGGUUAUUCCGGAAAAUCAGACAGCAGGUGAUGGACCCGUGAAUAUUGCUUCGGAUUAAUGGAAGCUCCAGUGGUGGCCACAACGAAAGGCCCUGUGAGUGUGGAAAAUUGCAAUGGGAAGGAAGGAAUUACUGUGGCCCGGAUAGUACGAUGGACUGUCACACAUCGCGACACGAUCAUCAGAACAUCGCAAUUGCCGGAGGAACUUCUUCUAGAACCCACAUUUCAACUUCAAGCACUUCCCCGCACAGCAACGGAGCGCUGCGAUAAUGUUCUGCGGCCAGAGUUCAAUUUCGCAAAAGUAUAUCAGCAGUCAGCACCCAGAUAGAAUUCCAAACAGCAUUUUCGGCAUCUCCGUCUUCGAGAGCGAAUCGUUUGGUGAAAUUAUCAGCCGUAUGAGAGGCAUUCCGUGAUGGUGACGCGUGCCUGUGGCUAGUAGAUUACCAAGCAGCAAAAAGCAAACCAAUUGGUGGAAUAUUAGUUAACUAUCCGGAAGAUGUCCACCUAUCUAACUACCCACUAAUCCUAGUUAUGUGUGUUUGUGUUGUGUGCGUACCUAGUUAAAAAAGCCACAAAUAAGUGUGAUAUGAAGAAAAAACUUAAUGUACCAAGCAGAAUUCCAAAUAAACUUUUUUAUUCGCUUUUGUUUACGUGAAUUAUUCUACACAUUCGAUCAGGAACUACUGCAAAUAUGCAAUGAUUCUUCUUGUGAUUUCUCUAGCAAGUCUAAAAAGAGCAUCUGUGAAUUUUUCCAGAAGGAGCUCCUGGAGGAAUCCUCAGAGGGAACUCCUGGAGGAAUCACCAGAGAAAACUUCUGAAGAAACCUGUGGAGCAAUCCCCCGAGGAAACUCCUAGUUGGAAUACGUUGAUAAAACUUCUGGUAGAAUUCUCAGCAGAAACUCCUGGAGGGAACUCCCGGAGGAAUUGCCACAGGGAACUCCCGCAGGAAUUCCUAGAAGGAAUUCUUGGAGAAGUUUUCAUAGGGAAUCUUGGAUCAUGGAUAAACAUUGAAUCUUUGGAGAAUUCUUGGAAGAAGUCAUUGAGAUUUCUAGAUAGCUCUUUAAGUGAAUUCCUGACAAAGUCUUUGGAGGAAUCCAUGGAAGAACUCCUGGAGAAAGCCUUGGAAAAAUGUCUCGAAUCCUAAUAUUUUGAAGAGAAUAAUCGUGGAAGAAUCUUUGAAAGAUUUUCUCAAAGAACCCUUGGAGAAGUUCUUGUAGGAUUUUUUAUUGUAAAUUUUAAGAAGUAGGUAAUCAAAGAAUUCCUUUAUAAACUCAUUCAAGUUUUCCUCAAUAUAUACAUUCAGGAAUUUUUUCACGGGUUCCUUGAAAAAAUUCCUCAAGGAUUACUUUAAAAACUCCUUGAAAGAUUCCUUCCGGAAUUUUUUCGAGAGUUUCUUUAAAAACUUUUCAAGGAUUAUUUUAGAAAUUUUUUCAAGAAUUCCUUCAAGGAUUCCUUCUCGAGUUCCUUUAAUAACUCCUUCAAGGAAUUUUUAAGGAGUAGGAUUCCUUCACGAAUUCCUUUAAUAAUAACUUCAAGGAUUUCUUGAGGAGUUCCUUCAAGGAUUCCUUUAGAAAUUAAUUCAAAGAUUUCUUCAGGAAUUUAUUCAAAGAUUCCUCCAGAAAUUCCUUCAAGGAUUCCUCCACAUAUUUCAGCAAGGAUUCCUCCAGGAAUUCCUUCAAGGAUUUCUCCAGAAAUUCCUUCAAAGAUUUCUUCAGGCAUUCCUUCAAGAAUUUCUCAAGGAAUUCCUUCAAGUAUUCCUCUAGGAAUUCCUUUAAAGAAUUCUUCAUGAAUUCCUUCAAAGAUUCUUCCAGCAAUUUCUUCAAAGAUUCCUCUAGAAUUCACUCAGUGAUUCCUUCAGGAAUUCUUUCCAGGAUUCCUUCAUAAAUUCCUUAUGGAAUUCUUUCACGAAUUCCUCCAUGAACUCUGUCAAUGAUUUCUUCGGAUAUACCUUUAAGGAUUUUUCUAGGAAUUCCUUCAAGGAUUCCUCUAGGAAUUCCUUCAAGGAUUUCUCAAGCAAUUCCUUCAAAGAUUCAUCCAGCAAAUCCUUCAAGGAUUCCUCUAGGAAUUCCUUCGAGGAUUUAUUCAGGAAUAAUUUCAAGGAUUCCUCCAGGAGUUCCUUCAAAGAUUCCUCCAGAAAUUCUUUCAAUGAUUCUUGCAGGGCUUCAAGGAUUCAUCCAGCAAAUCCUUCAAGGAUUCCUCCAGGAAUUCCUUCGAGGAUUUAUUCAGGAAUAAUUUCAAGGAUUCCUCCAAGAGUUCCUUCAAAGAUUCCUCCAGAAAUUCUUUCAAUGAUUCUUGCAGGACUUCCUUCUAGGAUUCUUGCAGAAAUUUCUUCAAGGAUUCAUCCAGAAAUUCCUUCAAGGACUCCUCCAGAAAUUCCUUCAAGGAUUUUUCCAGAUAUUCCAGCAAGGAUCCCUCCAGGAAUUCCUUAAAGGAUUCCUCCGGGAAUUUCUCCAACGAUUCCCCAAGAAAUUCCUUCAAGGAACUUCCAGAAACUUCUUCAAGGAUGCCUCCCGAAAUUGCUUCAAGGAUUCCUUAAGGAAUUCUUUCUAAGAUUCUUUCAAAAUUUUCUCUAAAGAUUCCUCUAGGUAUUCCUUCAAGGAUUUCUCCGGAAAUUCCUUCAAAGAUUUCUUCAGGAAUUCCUUCAAGGAUUUCACCAAGAAUUCCAUCAAGGAUUCCUCCAGAAAUUUCUUCAAGGAUUCCUUUAUAAACCCUUUCAAGGUUUCCUUAAUAAAUUCCUUUUGGAAUUCUUUCACGGAUUCCUCCAUGAACUCUUUCAAUGAUUUCUUCGGAUAUUUCUUCAAGGAUUUUUCAAGGAAUUUCUGCAAAGAAUCCUCCAAUAAUUCCUUCCAGAAAUUCCUCCAGGAAUUCCUUUGAGGAUUUCUCAAGGAAUUCCUUCAAAGAUUCCUCCAGAAAAUCUUACAAGGAUUCCUCCAUGAAUUCCUUCGAGGAUUUAUUCAGCAAUUCUUUCAAGGAUUCCUCCAGGAGUUUCUUCAAAGAUUUCUCCAGAAAUUCUUUCAAUGAUUCUUGCAGGACUUCCUUGUAGGAUUCUUGCAAAAAUUCCUUCAAGGAUUCAUCCAGAAGUUCCUUCAAGGAUUCCUCCAGAAAUUCUUUCAAGGAUUCUUCCAGAUAUUCCAGCAAGGAUCCCUCCAGGAAUUCCUCAAAGGAUUCCUCCCGAAAUUCCUACAAGGAUUCCUCCAGGAAUUCCUUCGGAAGUUCUUUCAAGGAUUCUUCCAGGAAUUCCAAGGAAUUCCUUCAAGGAUUCAUCAAGAAAUUCCUUCUAGGGUUUCUCCAGAUAUUCCGUCAAGGAUUCCUCCAGGAAUUCCUUCAACGAUUCCUCCAGGAAUUCCUUCAAUGAUUUCUUCAGAAAUUCCUUCUAGGAUUUCUCUAGGAAUUCUCCAAGGAUUCCUCCAGGAAUUCCUCCAACGAUUCCCCCAAAAAAAUCCUUCAAGGAUUCCUCCAGAAAGUUCUCCAUAGAUUCCUCCAGGAAUUUCUUCAUGGAUUCCUCCAGGAAUUCCUACAAGGAUUUCAACAGGAAUUCCUUCAAAGAUUUCUUCAGGAAUUCCUUCAAGGAUUCUGUGGUACCUUGUGGUAUGCACAUAAUAAAUUAUUGUAUUACUCUAUUACGUUUAGCGUGUAUGUUUACAUUGAGUAUCUGUCAUAUGUGGAGAUGUUGUUAUUGUUGUCUAGAGUGUGAAUCAUUGUAUGUUAUAUUAAAGUAUCGGUAAUAAAGUGUAUACAAAUAAUGAAUACAGUUGUUGAAUAAUCAUUACAGAGAAAGAUUCUCACAUUGGCGACGAGAACGGUGAACAGUGCAUGUGAAAUUAGUUUAAUUUCGGUUCGGGAAGUGUUGUCUGGAAAAAGAAAGAGAUGAGUGGUGUGUGUGUGUGGUGCAUGCAGAGUGGUGAUGACCUCCAGGUGAUGACUUGUGAUUGAAUUUCAACAUUGGAAUCAAAAAGGUACAACCACAAGUAACGGCCAAGUAAUUUACCAAAAUGCCGAGCAGAGAUGGAUGACCAAAUGGAUGACUGUACUUCUAAUUUUGAUGUGAGACUGAAGCGAGACGUUUAUAAACUGAGGAGACUAUAAGCGAAACAACGUGGAGUGACCUUGCUGCGGAUCUGGAGAAAAAACGAGAUGUGGUACCUUGUGGUAUGCACAUAAUAAAUUAUUGUAUUACUCUAUUACGUUUAGCGUGUAUGUUUACAUUGAGUAUCUGUCAUAUGUGGAGAUGUUGUUAUUGUUGUCUAGAGUGUGAAUCAUUGUAUGUUAUAUUAAAGUAUCGGUAAUAAAGUGUAUACAAAUAAUGAA